GAUGAAGAACGUAGCGAAAUGCGAUAAGUAAUGUGAAUUGCAGAAUUCAGUGAAUCAUCGAAUCUUUGAACGCACAUUGCGCCCGCCAGUAUUCUGGCGGGCAUGCCUGUUCGAGCGUCAUUACAACCCUCAGGCCCCCGGGCCUGGCGUUGGGGAUCGGCGGAGCCCCCCGUGGGCACACGCCGUCCCCCAAAUGCAGUGGCGGUCCCGCCGCAGCUUCCAUCGCGUAGUAGCUAACACCUCGCGACUGGAGAGCGGCGCGGCCACGCCGUAAAACACCCAACUCUUCUGAAGUUGACCUCGUAUCAGGUAGGAAUACCCGCUGAACUUAAGCAUAUCAAUAAGCGGAGGA
This 352-nucleotide unclassified non-coding RNA is filed under the name soil metagenome. Its description in RNAcentral is "partial contains 5.8S ribosomal RNA, internal transcribed spacer 2, and large subunit ribosomal RNA". The stretch from base 1 to 120 matches the Rfam family "5.8S ribosomal RNA", at positions 35 to 154 of the family's 154-position model. The record is from RNAcentral.